This is a long non-coding RNA of Mesocricetus auratus (golden hamster), 1755 nucleotides long. RefSeq lists it as uncharacterized. NCBI's taxonomy places the organism in Eukaryota, Metazoa, Chordata, Mammalia, Rodentia, Cricetidae. The record is from RefSeq and is a predicted model, not a curated record. The transcript has 3 exons.
UGAGGACAGAAAAGAAAGCUUCCAUCUGAAGCCAGGAACUCCGCUCUUACAAGGCUCUGGAUCUGCCUGCACCUUUGUUGUGGACUGUCUACCCUUUAGAACUGAGGAAGUUACUAUACAUCCUGGGCCUCAAGUUAUAUACCUGAGAGGAGGAGGAGGGAGAGGAGGAAAAAGAUUAAUGCUCUCAGGAUGGCUUCUUGCUACCACCAGGUGAACAGAUAGCCUCUGCUGUGCUGCUACGAUGAUCAACUGCAUUGGCCAAUGUACCAGAGCCAAGCAUCCAUGAGCGAAGACCUCUGAAAUCACGAGCCUAAACAAAGCUCCCAUGUUUUGUCAGAGUCGUGGAAAGUGGAAAGUUUACCAAUGCAACAAGCUAACUCUACACCUUGACCCUCCAGGCAAGGGGAGAAGAUGUUGGCCUCAAUGACGGCUGGAUUUCAUGAUUUGCAUCUGAAGCUCUGCUCUGUGAUCUCAGCUGACAAGAACCAUAGUGUAGUUGUGGUGUCAUUGUCCAAAAGUUUAGCUUCUGAUGGCAACCACCCCAUGACCUGCCUGAGACUAUGGACAGAACUGCUUAGAUGUGCUCACACUAUAAAGGAAGAUGGGGAUAUGCUAAUGAGGACAGCCAUAACCAGAAGUUGCAAGAUUCACAGCCAAAUUGCAAUAAAUCUGUGGAGAUUCUUAAAGAACAAGACACACAGGAAAAGUAUGAUUGCAGGACAAACUGCUUUGUAAAUGAACGGCACUACUGCUGAGUCUUGGAAAAGACAAGAACAUUCACAAAACUCCUAACCCAACGCACAUUAGUCAGCCCUGCUGACUGGCGGAUGAGUGAUGGCGCUGCGUGGGCGAGCUCUCCCUGAGGAGCCUCUGGAAGGAUUCAGGGCUGAAUGCUGAUGCACAACGUAAAUAAAAGACUGCAGUUUGCUCGUUUUUCCUCCUCAACCAAUUGCCCCUGCCCCACAGCUCAAUCUGUGUUCACGCCCCUCUGCUCUGCCUAUGCCAAGUCGGCAACAGGACCGAGUUGCCAUGUUAUAUAACCUAUCCCAUAUUCGUCUUCAAAGGCCCAAAGAUUAUACCUAUGAAUGCCAUUUGUGUUUGAUGACAUUGGGGAUGGUGUGAAAGUGAAGGCUUUGAGGUAAAAAGGAGUGAAAAUGCAAAUCAUUUUGAGUGCCUUCAUAGGGAUAUUUGGAGGACAUGCAUGUGCUCUGUUUGCUGGAUUCAUUGAAGUUCAUCACAUUUUGUAAUACUAGAUGAAUUUUAAAGUAGCCUUCCCAUUUUAAAACUACUUCUCAUGAAAGCUCAGAGGUCGGGGGUUAUGAGGAGACUUCUCUCAUUGCUUCUAAAAUAUCAAAGUUUUAUUUCCCUCAUUUAGUCUUAGAUGAGAGAUCCAGAGACAGAAGAAUAAAAUAAUAUGGUAUAACAGGUUAAAUUCUGAUCUCAUUGAGACAUUAGGCUUUGUAUAAACUGAGAGGAUAACUUUUCCUUGUGAACUAGCUAACGCUUGGAUCUGUAGUGAGAAAUAGGAUGAGCCAACUUAAUACCAAUUUUUAUUUCAUUUUCCCUCCUGUUUCUUUGGUUAGGUCUCUUCAUGAAAUCUCAGUGGAAGGGCUGGAGAGAUGGCUCAGUGGUUAAGAUCACAUACUGCCUGUGUCAGAUGGUUCACAACUCUAGCUCCAGGGGAAUCUGAAGAUCUUGUCCGGCUUCUGUGGGCACCUGCAUUCAUGUGCACAGACCCACACAGAGACACAUAUA